GGCUUGUUGGUGCAGUCUAUAAAUGGAAAUAGCAGAAAAACAGCGGCUUCCCUCGCCCACCCAGGACCAGAUGCAAGACUACUGAUGAAAAUUAAAAAAUGAGGUAUAUACGCUCUGCCUUUGUCUUUCCUGGCCACACUACCUGCCAGCAUGAUGCCAUCAGAGGCGGCGUCUCGUCAUCUCAUCGCUCCGUGGCUGCUGGGCUGCCGCCAGUAGCGCCGCACCACCUGCUCCCACCCCUCCCUCUCCUUCCUUCCUACCUCUGGGUGCAAUCUGCCCACCUGCUUCCAUGGGUUCAUCCUCGAGAUCAUCCCCUCGAGGCAGUGAAGACAUUAUCUCAGUGGAGUAAAAAGCUAGAGGUAAAGUGACAGAGCUAGUUUUAAGUGCCUCUCUGAAAACACCACAGAAGCCCUUUGGCUGUUUCUGUCUCUGUCUCUUUUUUUUUUUUGUAUUUAAGCACAGCAAAGUUUUCAGAUUGGAUUAAAAUGAACAGAAGGGGUUUGCAGGUGAGGAGUCGUGGCUCCCUGCUGAAGGCUAGCCCCGUGUUUGUUGUUGGCGUUGUUGUUAUAGUCAUAAUAUUGUGCGUUUAUCUGGAGAUGAUGCUGACGUUCCCGUGGUGACUGAUACUAGACAGCUCUGCUGUUUCAUCAGAUGCCGGUGUAAUCUUUUGGGCAGAAAAUGAAUAAAUGUCUGGAACAAUUUGCCAAUUCA
Molecule: long non-coding RNA, 711 nt
Organism: Oreochromis aureus
Lineage: Eukaryota; Metazoa; Chordata; Actinopteri; Cichliformes; Cichlidae
Source: Ensembl